Molecule: long non-coding RNA, 188 nt
Organism: Girardinichthys multiradiatus
Lineage: Eukaryota; Metazoa; Chordata; Actinopteri; Cyprinodontiformes; Goodeidae
Exons: 3
Source: RefSeq, a predicted model, not a curated record
GACAUCUUAAAACAACCCACCGCUGAUGACCUUGAUGAUUUCAUCUUGACACAAUCAGAUUAUGAUUUGAUGAGAGAGGUAAACCCGAAUGAUCAAGUUGGAGGAUUUAGCGGCUGGAAUAGACACUCUAAAUUGAGAAGGCGAAUUAUCUCCAAACAAGAAAAACUCGCAACUACAUCUGAACUUUC